UUUGACUUUGACAUUUGCAAGUAGUCCUAAUAGCCACUGCAUCCUGAAUUGUAAUUAUGAGCCACCAAUAACAAAAAAGACUUCUGUGAUAUGGAUCCCUAAUGUUCUCUCAGAUGGUGAUGAAUAAAGAAAGAACCCAGGAGUAUAAAAAAAUACUUACAUACAUACCUACCAUUGUGGUGCUGUACAUAAAUACAUAGUCACACCACCAUACCAGGAUGGACUGAGCCGUGCACUACCAAGAAGACCAACUGCAGCCUCUUGUGAUGGACAUAAUGACCAGAGUGGUGACAGAUAAGCAACCCAUCACAAAUAUAAAUAUUUCUUUUUUCUGUGCAAGUUUUGAUGUUAUAAAUAAAAUACAAUCAAAAAGUA
This 375-nucleotide long non-coding RNA is filed under the name Pectinophora gossypiella (pink bollworm). Its description in RNAcentral is "uncharacterized LOC126377946". The record is from RNAcentral. Lineage: Eukaryota; Metazoa; Arthropoda; Insecta; Lepidoptera; Gelechiidae.